Molecule: long non-coding RNA, 3974 nt
Filed under: Malus domestica (apple)
Lineage: Eukaryota; Viridiplantae; Streptophyta; Magnoliopsida; Rosales; Rosaceae
Description: long non-coding RNA (MDOM_LNC000579)
Source: RNAcentral
CUAGUUGGCUGAUACUCGAUGGUUUUAGUGCUGAUAUAAUAUGGUACAAACAAUCUAUAUUUUAACAUAUCAUGCAUAUUGUUAAAUUGUUAAUCAAACUUGCACAUUUAGAUGUAUUUUGCCCACUUAAUAGUCAUGAUUAAUAGUUUGAUAGCAUAACACUAUCCUAUUUGCAUGAAUAGGGAAAAUUUAUGUUAUACAUAGAGCAUUAAGAUCCGAAGACACUUUUUUGACACACUUUUUGUGGGACCCACUUUUUAAUGUACUUUAACGAUUUAACUGUCUAUCUUUUAUGUCUUAUCUCUAAUAUCAUGUCUAUAAAAAUAAAUUACCCAAAUUCAAAACCAUAUGACCGUUGGAUUAACUUUAGUGAUUCUUUGUAGAACUGUAUUCAUCCAUUUUCUUCUUUACAAAUAGAUGUCUUAAUGAUUUUGGAUUUAUCUAACUUUUUGCAAAGUUGAUCUAUGAAUGAUGUACUAAGAUAUAGAUGAUUCAGAUUAUUAAAAUACAUUAAGAAGUGCACCCUACAAAAUAAAAUAUGUAUUAAAUGCGUGUGCCCAUGAUCCUAAACCCUGUAUUCAUCCACACCUCCAGUUGGAUUAAUUCUUCGUAUUGUUAUAUAUAGUAUGGCAACAUAUAUACCAUAUCAAGUACAAUAAUAUUUUCACACAUACACAUACAUUUUCAAUUGAGGCCAUUGAGUAUAUGGAAACCCUGGCUAGAUAACUAUAUUUUAUCAACAGUGAUAAUAAAUAAGAAAAUGCUAGAGAUAUCAUAUUUUUGUGUAGUACAUUGUGAUUGUAGAGCUCUAAUAGAAGUUAUCCUACUUGUAUUAUUGGUAAACCUGACAAUUUCUUACACGACCUGUUAACACAACAUGAAAAUAAUGAGUUUCAAGUCAACACGAUAACUAAUUGGGUUGUUAUCGAGUCACCGAUUAGGAACUCAUUAAUAACGGGUCCUUAACGAGUUUAAGAAAAAAUUAUUUUGAUAAUUUAAAGUUAAACUAUUAAAAAGCUUACUUUAAAAUACAAAAGCCAUAUUGUAUAUUAAAUAUGUAUUAUGGUAUUGGAACUGCGAAUUUAGUCCCUGUAAUAUUUUUUUUAGAAAAAUUAGUCUCUGAAUUAUAAAAACCUGCCAAUUACAUCAUUAAUAUUAUAUUCGAAGCUACUAUAUUCAAUUUUUCCUCAAUUUAAGUCAUGUUACUUGCAUGUGAUACACAUUGAAGGGUAAAUUGAUAAUUUUUUAUAAAGAAAUAUUAUAUAGAGUUAAUUUUGGAGGGUAAAUUAGAUGUUAGAUUUGCAACCUAUAUGAAAUGUUAAGGGCUUAUACGCCAAAAAAUGACAGUAUUACAGUCUAAUGUGUGUCAAGUAACUUAAGUUAACGAAAAAUUGAAUAAAAUAACUUUGAAUAUAAUAGUAGGGAUGAAAUUAACAAUUUUUAUUGAAUUUAGGGACUUAUUUUACCAAAAAAAUGAUUCAGGUGAAGGAAAUUUUUUUGUCCUAGCUAAGAACAAGUAUGAACAUUUGAAUACAUAGGCAAGCUAUUAACACUUUAAAGUAGACAUGCAUUCAAAAACAAUUCAUAAAACCCAUGACUUUCAAAGCCUAGUAUAUGGUGAACCAAUAAACUCUUUAACAACAGUAAAGAUAAGUAAAGAUUUAGAGUUUCUUUACCCUUGAAGCUCAUCCUUGUUUACACAAGGGAUUCACCCAAGUGGAGGGCCUUCAAGUCACCUCCAAGCUCCUUGAAUCCUCCUGGUGUUUUCCUCCCUUUAGUGCUCCUUUGAAGAUUUGAGGAAAUGAGGAUAAGUUCUCCAAAACACCAAAAGUUUGAUGUCUCUAAGUCUCUUCACCAAGGAUGUAUCUUGUGAAGAUGAUAUGGAUGACUUAGGGAAGAAGAGAUUACUAGAUGUCCCUUCCCUUAGUGGCCGGCCUCUUGGAAGAAAAUGGAGAGAAAAUGUUUCACCCAAUUUCAACUAGAAAACCCCAAAUGAAAAUAAAGCUAUAAAGUUGAAUUUAUACUUCAUUACAAGUGAGUGGCAAACUUGUAAUUAAUCCAAGUUUGCCCAUCCACCCUAAUGGCCGGCCUCUUUGAUGUUAUUGGGCUAUUUGCCCAUUUUGUUUUAGUUGUCAUACAACUUAAACAUAAUGGGCCUUUUGGACCAAAACGCUUUUGGGCCCCGAAACCCAAAACCAACAUAUAAGCCCAACACGAACCUUUCGUAAAAUUAAUUAACUAAUUAAUUAAUCUUGACCAUUCUUCAAUUAAACCAUUUAAUUGCUUAUCCAUUUCAUUUGAUUUCUUCACAUACAUCCUUACUCGGUGUACGAUCCAUUAGGUUCCAAUUAACGAGGCAGUGGGCGAUUGUUACUCUUAACGAUCGAUUGUGAAUUGAAACCACAUUUCAAUUCUCCCUUUAUUGAUUAGUGUUUGCUAACCAUUAGGGCUUCCACAAACCAUGAGUGACGCCUAGCAGAAUAUCAUGGUUACCCAAGCUAAGUAGAAUUGGUUGGAGAACCUAUCCAGUUACAACUACAAUGCAAUACGGUCAUUCUCUAAUACAAUACUCUUAAUCACAUUGUUUAAGUGAUAGUUUGUUUCAUGUCUACUAUCCAAUGUGAUACUUUCCUAUAUGAUUCCCUUGAAUAUGAUUUGGAACAAACUUCCUAAGUCAUAUUCAUUUGCUUUGGCCAAAGACUUUAGAAUCAUAUCUUAGAGAGUAUUCUCCUUCCACCAUGGAAGGUUAGAGAUCCCUUGUUUGUGCAUUCAUAUGUCUACAUGACUAGAUAGCUUGACCCCAACAAUGCCGUGGACACUCCGAUGGAAUGCCGUUUGACAUGAUCAAAGAUCAAGGAUCUAACCAUUAGACAUCUAUGAUGCCUCAGGUCAAAGGACUACUUUGCAUAUUGCAACUUUAGAGUUCAUACAUGACAUGUAUGUUCGAACUCUCUUUUGAUCGUAGUUCAGUGUACUCGAUUACUCUUUCGAGCACCAAUGUGUUUGUCUUAGUGUCCAACACCAAAUGACUUGAGACUAGUCAUACUCACGCUUGAGUCAACAUAACACAUACUAACCUCAGCGGAUUGUCAAUGCCCAAUUGGCAAUCUUAUGGCUAGGAACGUUUUAGGAAUGAACAUAAGAGAAUGGUCUCAAUAAUGUAACUCACUUAGAUCACUUGUCUCUUAGAUCAAAUACAUCCCUUGGAUUCCCUUAUUGCUUAAACACAUGAUACAAUAAAUAGUGAUUAACAAUAAGCUUUGCCCUUCAUUAAACAUAUAAAAGUUUAAUACAUUAAGUAUUCCAAAAAGCUAUUACAUCAAAUGAGUGGCUUUGUGGGCAUACUUCCAACAUCAGGGACCUAAUUUUCAUUGAGAUGAUAAUUCAAGGACUAAAUCGGCACUAUUAAUUUUUUUUUAAGUUUUAUUUUUAUAUUUAUUUUUAUUAUGAGCGUGUUUUAAUAUUAUUACUGGGGUAAUUUUACUUGAUCUGUUAAUCAAAAUUCAAAUCAACUAGAUAAUAUCAGUACAGGCAAAAAGAUAGACUUUCAAUUUUAGAGUCAAUGACCUAACAAAGUUCUCUCAUACAGUCACUCAUAAAUGUUUUAUCCUCUUAAAAGUGAGAUUAAAACAUUAUAAAACACAUUAAAAAUAUAUAUAAUCACUUAUAAUGAUAAGUUUUACAACUUUCGUGAAGGGAACAACUUUGAAAUUCGACACCAAAAUCCAUAAACUUUAGGUUUAUAUUUAACCAUCGAUUAUCGAUUACGUUUUUUUCUCUCACCGAGUUUCGUUUUUCAGAUUUUGUUUUUUGAAGACAGAUCUUUUAACAGAUAUAGACUAUUUAGAUCGUUGAUAUUAUGUUUCGAUAUUUAUGGUUAACUAAAAUAUGAGUUGAUGUUUUAUAGUUACUAGAGACAUUAUAAACUCCGAGCAAUAUUUUUACUAACGAUAAAACUCUGAACGUAAUAUCAA